UACGGAGGGGGUUAGCGUUGUUCGGAAUGACUGGGCGUAAAGCGCGCGUAGGCGGAUCAGGAAGUUGGGGGUGAAAUCCCGGGGCUCAACCCCGGAAUGGCCUUCAAAACUCCUGGUCUUGAGUUCGAGAGAGGUGAGUGGAAUUCCGAGUGUAGAGGUGAAAUUCGUAGAUAUUCGGAGGAACACCAGUGGCGAAGGCGGCUCACUGGCUCGACACUGACGCUGAGGUGCGACAGCGUGGGGAGCAAACAGG
This 253-nucleotide ribosomal RNA is filed under the name uncultured bacterium. Its description in RNAcentral is "partial 16S ribosomal RNA". It matches the Rfam family "Bacterial small subunit ribosomal RNA", at positions 524 to 776 of the family's 1533-position model. The record is from RNAcentral.